Leopardus geoffroyi (Geoffroy's cat) is the source of this 18088-nucleotide long non-coding RNA. RefSeq lists it as uncharacterized. The transcript is spliced from 2 exons. The record is from RefSeq and is a predicted model, not a curated record. NCBI's taxonomy places the organism in Eukaryota, Metazoa, Chordata, Mammalia, Carnivora, Felidae.
UGCUUCCAGCCUUCUGAUUGGCACCUGACAGUGUGUAGAGUAUUAAUUAUGGUCAGAGCUUUUCAACAUGCAAUAAAAAGCCUUUUAAACCAUUCCGGUGGGAGGUGAUUAACUCUAUUAAGUGACAUUAUGGAUCUUCCUAUCUGUUGCUUUCAUAAACAUAGUUGUAGGCGGAAUGUUUUAUUAAGGGCAUAAAAAUGUCCCACAUUACAAUGCAUAAGCACAUAUUGAUGUUAUAUUUCUUUACUGUGCUGCACGCCCCAGUCCCCAACCACUCCGAAAAGAAACUACAUGUCUUAAUAAUUUAUGCUCCAAGUUUUAACCAGGAUUAUCAAUGGCAGCUUUUGAGGUUUCUCUUUUGGCAACACAAUAGAUCAUAGUAAAAAUGCACCGACAAGCGAUGUGUCCGUUUGAUUUUUUCCACCUGAAUCAGCAGCCCAAACUCCAGACACAGCAGUUUAGGGCAAGCAGCACACUGAAGAAUUUAAGUCUAAGCAUUUAAUCUGUUCUUUCCAUAAAUUUCUGCUGCUUGUGCUUUAUAAUGAUUCUACCAGAGGAAGUUUAUUUAUAUCGCAGAUUUUCAGCAUCAGCACAUUGAGAACACAAGGGCGAUCGCUCAGUCAAUAGCUUACAGCCAUGUAUAAUAUCACUCCGGAAAUCAAAAGCCCAUUUGAAGAAAAGAAGGCUCAGAUUAAAGUCACUUUAAGACAUCAAUAACUUGGAACUGGCUCUAGAGAAGUUAUAAAUAUCCAACCUGCGCAUAUGCAAAUACGCGCUCGCAGACGCGCCACCACCGCCGCGCGCCCGGGAACCUCCGGCGGCCCCUCCCCUCCCCGCGGCACGUGCCGCCGCGCGGGGGGCGGGCCCUACACGUCACUGGGGGCGGGGACUCUCCGGGGCCGAGCGCCCCAGCCCUCCCAGGCAGUCAGCCGGAGCCGGAGUCACCCGCCCGAUUUGGGGUGUGGGCUGGGCUUGAAGGCCGGCGAGGAGUAGAAACCCAGCGUUAAAACCCAAUGGACAGAAGAAACUGGCGCCUUUCUGCGUUGCUUCCCACGUGCCAGGUGCUGGGCCAAGGGGCACUUUAAUUACAUCAGCCACCCUUAGCCGUCUUUCUGACACCAUACCUGUCGUGGCAGCCCAGGGGCCCCUCCCCUGUCUCCCAUACCUGUCGUGGCAGCCCAGGGGCCCCUCCCCUGUCUCCCUCUGUUGGGAGAGUGGGUGGCGGGAGGAGAAGGAAGAGGAGGAAGCACCGGCACUUUGUAAAGCCCCACCCUGGGUGCGUGCAUCCUGCCUCCCCCUCUGAUACCCACCGAUUCCAUUAUCUCAUUUUAUCCCCGAGGCAACCCUAGGACAGAAGGUCCCCAUUUUACAGAUGAAGAAAAUGAGGUUUGGGGAGAGUAACUUGUCCUUGGCCAGAGUGGAGGCAGCAAGGCUUGAAUCAAGCUCUGCUUAAUUCAAAGCCCUGCUUUUAUAGUUUUAAACCAUCGUAGUUUGGUGCUUCCUACUUGUCCUAGCACCCUUCCUCAAGGCAGAGCAGGCCCAGGAGCCUAGAAGAGUUUGAGGCCACUUGGGAAGGUGAAGCCCAGGGCCCAAGGAGCAUCAUAAAGGAUCAUGAUGUAGACAGAGGAAGGAGAUACCAGCAAGUUGGGGCUGGGUAGAACUGGCUCAGAAGGCAAGCUGGAGGGCUGGCUGGCAGAGAUGAGCUGGGGUGAGGCCCCAGCAGGGUGGAAGGAGCCAAGGCAAAGCCCAGGGUCUGGAGCCAGCUUGGGGCCUGGGCUCUGGUCUUGAGAUGGUGAGAGGACCUCAGGCUUUCAGGAAGGGAGGGAAGGCAGGAGGGGCUCAGACCCCAGGUGGGGCUGGUGAACUCAAUGGCCACAGACCAGCGGUUGUACUAUCCUGGGCAACCCUAGAAAUUGCCAAGGCCACAAAUGGCCAAGGGCUUAUAUGGCUAAAGCUCCUGAGAUCACAAAAACCUCUCAGGAGAAAGGGGAAUCCUGCUCAUUGCCCAGGAGCAUGACAUGGCCCUGCAUAGCAUGAGGAUCCAUCAAAAAAUGAGUUACCUGCCCUCAGUGGGCAGCAAGAAGAUAAUAAGGUUAAGCCCUGCAAAAGUGUCUGGACAAGAGAGAAUGUGACAAAGGGCUGAACAUGUGAAUGAAGUUAUACAUACAUCAUCAUAGAAGCUGAUGACUGAAAGUAGAUCGCUUUCUGCAGGAUGGCUUUUGCCUAAAGAUGUCCUGUGUAGCCGCUUCUAUGUCCUUGCUCAAGAUGUCUCAUCUCCUUGGAUUCCCGCACUGUCUAUGCCCCAUAACACUGUGUGGUUUACACUUCUGUACCGUGGGCAGCAUUGAGUACUUACAGCUAUAGUCAUUCACCCAUUCAUUCAUUCACUCAUACGUUCAGCCAGUAUUUAUUGAGCACAUACAGUGUACCAGGCACUGGGGAUACAAUGACGAACAAGAAAGACCACAAGCCUUGCCUGGUGGAGCACUGGUUCUGGAGGAUGUUUGGUGACCUGCUUGUCUCCCCCUUCUCAAAGGCAGGCAUGGUUUAGCUGACUCAUGAGGGCUGGUCAGUCCUGCAGAGGUGUCCUCAGUCACGCAUUUGGCUGCUGCACUAGGUCCCAAAGCUCCCAGCAAAUGGCUAUUCAGAGCCUCAGGCCUCCUGACUCAUCAUCUCUCUUCCCUUGUUCCUCUUGCGCUGGGAGGUUGCUUUUGUUUUUUGGAGCUCCUUCCCAGGACAAGGGUCAGUGGGGGCGGGGCAGGGGGGGAUUUCUCCUCCCGAAUAGUAAGGCCAAGUCCUUGUAGGUCAGUGACCUCAUCCUGGGAGGGGGAUUAUACACUCUUAUUCUUCCUGCCCCAGUGCUAUGAGGGCUCCAAGCCAAGCCCCAAAUAGACCUUAGCAGGGCAGGGAAGCGGCCCCCUGGCAAAAGCAGAGGGGGGCUGUGCACAUGUGCGCAGGCGCUACCUGCCUGUCUGGGGCUGGGCUAUAGUUGGAGUCUGCUCAGGAGGGUCUCCUGGAUGAAUGGAACAUUCAGAGCUUGGGCUUCUCCCCUUACUGACCAGGUCAGAGGCUGGCUGGACACCUGAUCUGUCCCCAACUGCCUCCCGUCUCCAGAGGAGGAGCUGGAUUCCCGUGGGCUGGGGGCUGGGAGGACACCAGUUACCUGAGCCCCUCUCCCCUUUUUGGCUGUGAGAACUAGCUCUUGCUGGGAUGGCAUGUUGCACUUUUCUGGAACUCUGAAGGGCACUUGCAUUACUGUCUCCUGUAUUUCCUUAGGAGGGCUCUCUGGUUUCUGUGUGGCAGCUGCAGGGGGUUCCGGGGAUGGCCCUGCGCAACCCUGAUGGGGUCACACCUCACUUUCCCCAAGGAGGACAAGCUGCCUCGGCCCAGGUGCAAGCACCUUUGGGAAUCAGAAGAGAGGGAGGCCAGUGUUGGCUGAGGGAGGAGGUGGACAGGAGCUGGGGCUGACCAGAGCCACACCUUGGGUGGAGUUAGAUGUGACUUCUGUACCUGUUCUUCCACUCAGGGGGACUGUUUGCUGCUGGGCCCCCACCUGGCUGGGCUCUGGCCUAGACCCUGGCCCUGGAGUCCCCUGCUUGAGAAGAAGAGUGAGUCAUAGGAGAGAACAGUCAUGUCAGCGCUAGGCUGCCACUCGACCCUUGGGGUUCCAUGUGGUGUGGGUGUUCUGGGAAAGUUUUCUGGAGGAGGAACCUGCUAAAGGCAGGUCUGAAGAGGGGUGGGGCAUUGUGAGUAACGUGCAGAAGCUGAAGUGAGCGUGUUGUUGGGCAGGGGCCCUAAGGAGCAGGCCUGUGGGGUGGGAGGGUGGGCGAGGCUGGAGGGGUCAGCAGCCUUGAGUGACAGGUGAGGGAGCUUUGUGAGAAAUGAGGACCAUUGAAGGAUUGUGACUAAGGGAGGGCCUGGUCACACGGUGCCUUAGAAAAUUUACUUUGACAGCAGAGUGGAGAGUGGCUGCGAGAGGGUAGGCCUGCAGGCAGGAAGAGCUGAGGUGGGGGCUCCGAGGGGCCGAGCAGAGGGUGGGCGGUAGAACUGAGACCAUGUAGAGGCUGACCAGGUGGGAAGAUCACGUGAGGGCCCUGGAGGCCAGUCAGGUGGGGUGAGUCUGAGAAGAUGAGCUGACAGGCCCGAAGUCCCUGCGGGGGCUGGGGCUUUCCAGCAGUGGGCACAGCUUGGGUCUGUGCGAGGGCAUCAAGUCUGGCUGCAUGGCCACCUCCAGCGGCCUCUGUGGGGACUCCGUGUCCUUGAACUUUUGGAGCUUCUGCAUCCAGCUCCUCAUUGUCUAAACGAGGAGGUAGAGAAUCAGUGUGUGUGUGUGUGUGUGUGUGUGUGUGUGUGUAUGGUGGUGGGGGUGGGGGGGUGGCAGGAGGGUGGCUGAACUGGGCUGGAAGCCAGGCCCUUUCUGUGCCAUUACAGCAAACACAGCCUUGCUGGGCAUCCUCAGGGCCGGACCCAGAAUCUGGGACUGAGGAUAUUACAGUGCGUAUAUGGCCAAGGGCAAGGCUCCGGGGCCAGACGACCCAGUGUCCAUCCCGACACUGUCCCUGAUCAGCUGGGUAAACACGGGAAAGUUAUAUCAUGUUUCUGAGCCCAAGUGUCUCAUCUGUAGAAGGGUGGUUAGAACCAAGGCUGCUCCCCACGGCUCUUGUGAGGAUUACAUGUGUCAGUGCAUGGGCCACACUUCCAAGAGCGUCUGGAAUGUAUAUACCCUCAAUAAGUCACUUUCCAGCUUCUCAUAUUGCACAACUCCAGGGGGCGCCAUUCACCUCACACUCAUCAAGAUUUCUUUUGUUAUUGUGACAGUUUUCUGGUAGAUGGCAAGCAAGGGUCUUGAGAAAAGGGUAUCUUUUAAAAUUUCACGGAAAGUUGCUAAAUUGGCCAGCGGCGGGGGUGUUCUAAAGUCAUUCCCAGUCGAGUGGGGGAGACAGACAUGAAAAUAGACCAUCAAGAUGCUCGCUGGUGAGACGGGUGAGUGAAGUCUGCAUGCAUGCUGGGGUGAGCUGAGGAGAGGAUCUGAUCUUCCUGAGCUCCUCUGUUCCUGGCUGAGGCUGGUGCCCCAGAGUACGGACUCGAAAACUGGGGUGUUACAGAAACCCCAGCCUCACAGGUGGUCUGGGGGCUGAGAGGGCCUGGUGCCAGGCUCUCUGACUGUCCUGUCCCGACUUUAUUGCAAGAGGUACCCUGAGGCUGUAGCUCAGUUCUGAGAAACCCAAGUGCCUUCCCGCAGAAUGCAAAUGUUGAGUGCUCUCCUCUGCUUUCAAUUCUACUGUGGGAAAGGCAGGCGAGCACAAAAUAAAUAACCAGAAGACCUCUGCAAUCCGGCUCCCUUGCCCCAUGGUGAUUCCUGACUAGCUCAUAACUCACCUCCCACGUCAGACAACAAGGCAGGCCUGCAACAACUCAGCAGUCUCCUGGGGGGCCUGCUGGCCCACCUUCCCCUGCUCGCCUGGCCUCUCCAGCCCCAGGAAAACCAAGCCUGGAGCUCUGUCUAUAAAGGGGACAUGGUGGCCUGUGCUGAGCACAUGGAGGGGACUCUUAUGAGGUUUGUGCAGAGCCCUCCCCUGACUCUGCUGCCUCCUGUCCGGUCAGCAGGCCGUGAAGGCCAGACCCUGUCACCCUCCCCACCCCCACUGGGCUCAGCAAACUGUGCUGACUGGGGCAUCUUCCCCACCCUGGUGACAGGGGGUCAGGGCUGAUUCCUGAAAGGAAGGGGCUUUCCUAAUUAAGACCUUUGAAGCUCCGGCUGGGGUUACGCCCUAGUGGCACAGGCUGUUGGGUCCAGGAGAUAGAGACUCUCACCCCUGUGCGGGUCUUGGUGGGGAGUGUGGGACCCUCAACGAGGGGAAGCAGGUUAGGGGAGGAGGACUGAGACAAGGGGGCCAAAGAAAGGGAGACUGUAGGGUCUAGUUCAGAUGGUGAUGCUACUUCUCCCCAGGGCUUCUCAUGGUCAUUUACUUCAGAGGCCUGAUCAUCCCUGAGGGCUUUUGUCGGGCAGAUGAGAGGUGGUGGGGGGAGGAGGGGGAGGGAGGGAGAAGGAGGGAGGGAAAGGGGCAUGCUUCAACUUCUCUGUUCCUGUGCCUAUCAGAGCCUUGGGAGCUUGGAAGGCUCUGGAAGCAGGACACCCAACUGGCCAACCAGCUCAGAUGAGGCUGAUCUGGCUAGAGUGGGGGCCAGUCCCCUCCUACCAAGGCCAAGUCCUUCGUGCUCCAGGGGAGUCCCAGGACUCCCUCCUAGGGGAGGAGAAGAUGCCAGCCGGGCCUCUAGCUCAGUCCUCUAGGCCUCACGGAGUCCUGAGCUCCCUCCCAGAGAGGACUAGUGAAUUUUUCCUGCUCUGCUGAGCUCCUUCAAAGAUAUCAGCACAUGGUUAAUCUUCCUUCUGUUCAGAAAUGCAGAGUAAUUUGCCCGAAUGGGGGUUUCUGCAUAUUUAUACUAAUGUCUGUGUUUAAAGCUUAUGAGACAGGGAAUUGCUGAGAGAUGUCCAUUAGCAAUAUAUACAGACUGCAAUUAUUUCUUUAUGGUGUGUGGUUUGACUGCAGAAUAUUUUAUUUCAAUGGAAGUAGCAGGCUUUGCCUACUGUGUUUUCUUAUGGGCCCAAAGAAAUCAAUAGGAACAGAAGAGAAGUGAAAAGAAGCAAGAAUAAAAGGAGUGUGACCUUUUAGGAUUCUGGGAGCCUUGACUAUGCUACUCCAGGAACUGCCUCCGUCCUCGGAAUCUCAAUGCAUGCAGUUAAGUGGGGGCAAUUCCGUACGUUUAAGACUGUGGACGAAAACUUGCAAACCCUCCCUGGGACAGAGGCAAAUCUCUCAAUUCAUUCCCUCCCACCAGAGACACGCAGGGAAUGGGAGCAAGGGGGGUGUCCUCAGAGCACCCCACUUCAGAACCUCCAGCACCUCCCCCCGCCCCAUGUCCACCCCAGGACAGAAGCUCGGAAGAGAAGCACGUUUUGAUCUGAAACAAAAUAAGCUUCAAGCUUAGAGUUUCUCCGACCAAGGCUGUCUGGAAUCUGCUUGGAUUCUGGUAGAAACCCAACAUUUUCCAGGAUGUGUGUGGAAGGAUCCGGAAGACGGAAGGAUCAAGACUGUUUCAGAACCACAGAACUGGAGCAGCCAGCAUGGAGGCCAAGGAAAGAAGAGCCUUCUGGGGAGUUGCAGCGAGGGGGUGCCCAGCCUGGGAGAGUGUGGCCAAGAGGCCAGGGGAAUGCCUCUCCGCUGAGGGUCCCACCUGGUCUCACCUGGGCUCCACCUCGAUGCCCAUUCAGCUUCUCCUGGCUGCUCAGGUGACUUUUCUGUCUUGGUGCUGAGAGGGGCCUCACACCAGACCUCCACACGCUCUGGAAGAACACCUCAAUUAUCAGCCACUGGAAGGGCACCAUUGCGCCUGAGGCAGUCUCCACGCACAACUGUCUUAAAGGGCUUUUUGGCUAAGAGAGGCCAGUCUAGCUGGGCUGAGGAACGCAAAUGACUUUGUGUGACAGAUACGUCUAAACUGGAAAUGCCAUUGUCCGCCCCUUCUACUGGGGGCCCCAGUGCCUCUUGGUCUUUCCCCUUCACCCGCCCUCACUUCCCUCUUCCUCGGGUUGGUUCUUUGCACAACUGGAGCACCUCCCCAGUCCCAUAGCCGUUUCUUUCCCGCCAGCCUCUGCCAUCUCGUGGCCUCCACAGAGCCGGCUCCCAUCUGCCACCUCAACUUCCCCUCGGCAGGGAGGCACCAUUCUUUUCCGGCCUCAGAAUAGUUCCCUGAAGUCAGCGCUGACUUCUCACUGCCUUCUUGCACAGAAAUCUUUUCCAAGAGGUGCCGGGGUCCAGAAGAGGGACAGAUGGUCCCUUUCUUUUUAUAACACGGCAAGUCUUUUGAAGUGAAGAGCUAUGAACACAAGUUUUGCCUUCAGCAGAUGUUCUGUGGGCACAACAAAUACCACUUUGUGUUCUUCAGCAACUGUGAGCAGUGUUAACUGGGGAGGAGACUGAAAUUGGGCAGAGCAUCGGCGGCGCAUAUUCAGGGGGCCCAGGGGCCAUGGCGUGAAGGUCCCUGUUCAAUCUCAGUCAGGCUGACUGCAGACUUGUGUUUCUGCUCAGCCAGUUCCAGGUCUAGGCUUCCUAGAAACCGUGUCUGCUCACCUUCCCCGAGCCCAGGGACCACCCAGCUGCACUUCCACCCGUGCAGGGGCCACUUGUGAAGGGCUGACGGCCGAGCUGUGUUCGUGCGCACCUCUUCCAGCUAAUCCUGAGGCUGGGUCGAAAGCUGCAGGCUGGGGUGAAUACUAUUCGAGAUUCGUGAUUGCAUUUUAUCACUUUCUCCCUCGAGCACUACGGGGUUGUCCAGUCCCCAUGGCUGUACUAGGCUGAUCUGGGGACUUUGCAAAGGACAAGAAUGGUUGGCCAGGCAUGACAUCUGUUGAGCUCCUAAGGAGCUGAAGGCUGUCUAGAUGUCAGUAGAAGCCAGUUCCCAGGGCUCUGCCCUGGUGGCUCCUCGGGCAUCGGUGACAGGGGUACCAGGCAUCAGUUAACUACUUUGAAGUGGCUGUGCUGCUGUUUGGUGGAUUUCAAGAAUUGUGUUCAUUUAAAAGGGCAUAAGCUCAACUAAUAGACCUCAUUAACUUGAAAGAUAUAUCAUUUUUGCACGGAAUUGGCUCCUUCAUGGGAUGGCUGGCUCCAUUAACUUUAUUGCAUUGGCAAUACUUUGUAUAAGGUGUGGGAGAUGCUGCGGCAGCAAAGAAUCUCCGGGUCUGCCCGAUCCCAAGCUCCAGUGGCAUCCGUGGUGGCCGAAGCCCUGUCUGAAGUCCCUUCCGAGGGUCCAAAGUCCCUCACGGGUUUACUUGAGGAAUUAAGUCCACUCACUCACUCAUUAAGUCCAUCUGUCACACGGUACUUUUAGAGAUGAGGAAAGAAGCCAAGAGUCACCAAUUUAUGUUGAGAAAUAUCAGACACAUGAUCCUAGGAGAUGUAAGACAGCCACCGUGACCCAUCUUUAGCCCAGACAUGCUAAGUGACAAGCUAGGGAAGCUAGAAGGUGUGGUGUAGUGGGAGGGGAAUGGGUGUCACAGGCAGGAGGUUUUCAUCCUGACCCCCGUUCCCCCUCUGCCACUUACAUCUGGGCAAGCGUCUUAUCUGAGCCUUGGUUUUCCCUCUGUGAAUCCACCUCCUAGGGCAGCUGCAAGGGUUACAUAAAUGCAGAGUGAAUGUACAAUGAAUAUAAAACAUCUACUCCACGUCCUUCCGAAAGACAAGUCUGCAUCUGCUGGCACUGAUUGCCGCUCCUACUCCCCAGCUGCGCUCUCCCGAGCAACUCCUCACCUUCUCUGUUGGUGAGAAUUUACUCCUGAACAAUAACUCAUCCCCCCCUCCACCUCCUCACACCCCUUCAUACCACUACCAUGAAUAUGAGAGUGGGAUAGUGCCUUAAAGGCUAUUUAGGACCUCCCCCAUUUUGCAGGUAGGGAACUGAGGUUCAGAGGUGUCACUAAGAUUUCACACUGCCCCAGGAAACUGUCUCUAGAAAAAUCCCCUGUGAAACCAUCCCCACUCAAGUGUCCUGUGUAAUUACUUCAUCUGGUGCUAGGAGUUCUUUACCUGGAAACCUUCUCUGUCCCUGCAAACCAAAAGCCACAUGGAGACAGGACCCAUUGGGCCAAGCUGCUCUGGGUCAUGGCCAUGGGGCACACGUUGCCAGGCUGCUGUGAUCAGAGCGGUACAUCCCACAGGAGCACAGUGCUGGUGCCGGCAGCUCCACCAGGCAUGAAUGGGAGGAAGAGUAGGGACCAGACACCCACGUACAUAUGGGGGUGGGGGGCAAGUCAUAAGUGGUACCAUGUAGGCAAUGGCUCUGGGAGUGUGGUUUGACUGGGGAGGAGACAGUGUCCAGAAAGAAGAUGACAAGGACAAACUCUAACUCCAUUUGCCAACCAGACUGACACGUACCCCGUUAUGGACUGAAUUGUGCCCCCACCCCUCACCAUUUGUAUGUCGAAGCCCUACUCCCAAAGAGACUGUAUUUGGAGAUAGGGCCUCUAAGAAGUUAAAUGAGGUCAUGAGGGUGGGACUCUAAUUCAAUAUGACUCUAAUCCACAUAAGACAAGGAAGAGACACCAGGAGUGCUUGUCCAGGGAAAGGCCAUGUCACAACAAGAAGAUGGCCAUCUAUAAGCCAAGGAGAGAUGCCACACCAGAAACCCACCUUGCUGGCAGCCUGAUCUUGGACUUCCAGCCUCCAGAACUGUGAGGAAACAGAUAUCUGUUGUUUAAGUUGUCCAGUGUGUGGCGUUCUCUUAUGGAAGCCCUGACACACUAAUAUAUAGCCCAUGACGUUGGUCCCACAGGAAGUGGUGAAAAACAGAUGUGUGUUUGCCUGGGAUGUGUGUAGAUGCGGGUCUGAGACACAGAGCAAUGGCAACAUUGACAAGUCACUUGGAAGAGAGGAGGAAAAGGCAGUGAGAGGCCAGUGGGCAAAACCAGAAAGUUCACGACGCUGUGCUAGGUCAUCCAAAAGGCUCCUGGGAGAGCUAGAAAGUAAAUAGGGCAUUUUCUUGGUGAUGUACUGAUGAACACUUGGGCUUCCCUUUAAGACAUAUUAUUUUAAAGAAAGAGAGUUACACUAUGAAAAUAGGCAAUGGCAACCGUUUCAACAGAUAGCAAACUUCUGGCCAUUAUUUUUCUUUAAGCAAUGUACACAAUGUUUUCUGUUCCUCUCAUGCUUCUGUUAUUUUGACCUUUUAUGUUUCUAGGAUAGUAAGCGUGCUCUUGAAUGUAAGGUAAUUUCAACCAAAGCCAGUGUUCCGCCAUGUUUUCUCCAUAUGUGUUAUGGUUUUGGGGUGCUAUGCCCUCCCCAUCACGUGGGGACAGGCGGCAGGUGUGCCAUAGCUUUGCCAAGCACUCCUCCUUUGAAAACUCAUUCCCAACCUAAAAAACUGAAAAAUGUUAAGGAUCAGCCUGACAGGACAUGCCUUUCCUAGCAAAGACAGCACACAUUAGAUGUUUGCACAGUGAUUAGGCAACAGGAAACUUGCCACUAACCUGUCAUGAUAGGAGAGAGAAAGGUUUACAAAGAAUUUCUGGACCUCGAGGCACACCGUGAUUUCCCAGUCGGGUGUUAAUGGCCCUCAAGGGUUUCCUACCUGGAUCACAGCCCCUGAAGGCCAAGGGGGUCUUCACUUUACAAGGCCAAAGUGGCCUUCUAAGACCAGAAUGACUUGACCUUCACCAGAAUGAGUUGAACUUGCAAGACCCAAAUGGCUGACAAAAUGGACUCUUGCCCAAGAUCAGGGAUCCUUAUCCAGCCACCACUAACUGGGCAAGUAAAGCCGAGAAGCUGGAGGAAAGUCCAGGCUUCCUAAACUUUGGGUACCAAGGGGUCAGGGAAUAGACUUGGGUCCUUAAGUUUAAAUCACUAGCUGAACCUGUAUCAGAUCAGGACAGGCCCAAUGAACCAUUUGAUUAGAAGUGUCUGUGUGUGUGCGUCGCUCUAUGAUAGAAAUCAUACGAUUUCUUGAGAAAUCAUAAUUCUGUGUCACUGGCACUUAAACAUUCUUCCCUAAGAUGUGGCCUCUGUGGAACUACUUCCCUUCUGUCUCCUCCCCUCCAUCAUUCUGACUGCCUUUGAAGGCCCAGUCUACACUGACCUCUCUUUUCCAGCCCCUAUGGUUUUUACUGCUGGCUCCCCCUGGACUCCGCAAGUGGGGAUGCAGCCUUCUCUGGGGAGACCGCCAUCCCUCCCAGCACCUGCCACAGUGUCUGGAUGGAACACGGUAGGCAUCCCCACAGGGCCUCAUGUUCAGUAGGAGCAGAGAUCGAUAUGGGGCAUGGAGCUAGCACAUUCCAUAGUAUCUUUUGAGUGGGAGAAGCUAAGUGUGGGUCUCGCACAGUUGGUGACUAAUACUAUACACAUUACUUGCUCAAUCAAUGCUUGGUGGUGCAGCAGGGAAGGAGGUGACAUGACUCAAGCCCCUCAGGGGCUUCUUCAUGUCAGUGAUCUAGAACAUAGUGGUCAUCCCUGCUGGUAUCUGCGUGGGCUUGAGACUGGGGUAGCUGGUUUCCUACUGUGGGUCACUGCCACUUCCUGAAGCCCCUGGAAAGGAAAUGUUCCCUCCCUUUGCUCUAAUCUGAAGAGCCCUCUAAUUCCCAUGGUAUCUUGACUCUGCUGUCCCUGCCUGUCAACAGUUAGGGCCAGGGCAGGAUUUCCGAUCUCAAAGAUGCUCAGCAGAGGUUUGGGGCUGAAAGUCCAUAUGCUAUUUCCAGCUCUGUGUACUCAGCUCAGUGAGGAGGGGGCCCCCAUGCACCUUGCUCUAACUGUGUCCUGUUGAGCAGAGCGUCUCUGAGAGGAUUGUACUAAGGCUGGGGUCCUGGGGUCACCUCCUGCUCCGAGAAUGACAUGGUCUCUGGGUGGUCUAGCGGCCUUUGCUGCAUCUUUCCACUUGCCUGGUUCACUCAUCAUCAAAUGAUCCGUUAAUACAACAGUUAAGCCCUGGACAACCCUCCAAUUAAUGAUUAACAAACCUCAGGAGGAUAGAGCCCUGUGAAGGGGAGGAGGGCUUUCUGAGGCAGGGCUGGGGCAGGUACCGCCCAAGCGAGGAGGAAAGACCUCGUGUAGACAAAGUGUCAAAUUCCACAGGCUCUGAGACACAUAAUUUUUGAGUGAGGGUGUGUGUGUUGGGGUGGGGGGCAGCCUAGAAAGGGGAAAAAUUGGGUUGAGGGUCAUGUCAAUCAGAUCUGGGAGAUUAUUUUGAGCAACCUUGUUUUAGAAACAAUGGCGGGCCUGAGCUAAAGGUGUGCCAGACAAUGUUUUUCCUCCAGGAUUCUUUACAGUAGUGCUGGUAAUAACAACAGCUAGCAUAAAUGUGGGUUUACUAUGCGCCAGGCACUGUGUUAAGACUUUGCAUACAUUAUUAAGUCCUUAAAACACGUCUGUGAAGAUGGCACUAUGAUUAUCUCCAUGUUACCGAUAAGGAAACUGAGGCUCAGAGACAGCAGUGUUCUAGCACAGUUUCACUGUGGGUUAGUGGUAGUGGAGUUGGAACUCUACCUGAGCAGUCUGGUGCAGAACCCGGGCUCCUGGCCACCCUCCACGCUGCUAGCCAUGUGCUCGUAACCCACUCCCUCCCUUGCAUCCCUCCUUGGUUGGUCUGCGGGAGUGACAUAAUUCUGUUUGUCCCACCUACUGAUCUGGCCCUGGAGGAGGACCCAUGCUGGGAGUCUGGCACCCUGAUAUCAAGCUGAGUCUCGCAGGAUGCUGAGAUCCCCUGAGGGCAGACAGGAGAAGCCCUCAGAAGACAGACAGCUCCUGGAAUUAGGGGGAAGGUGUCAGCAACAGCCCGGUUCCUUCUGGUUGUUAUGGCAAUGUGGAGGGCUGUAAAAUGUUACAUCGCAGGAAGGCAGUUUCUUCUGUCCAAAGUGGACCCCUAGGAACUAGGUGCUUCAGACAUCACAGUGUUGACGCAAUCUGCCAAGACUCCCAAGGCAACCUGGUCUUUGGCUUUCUCACGUUACUCUGGGCGCCUAAAAGGCCACAGCACUGAAGAGUGGUCCUGGCACCAGCAGUGAAGAUAAUAGGAGCAAAGACUUUCACAGUGAUUACGACAUGCUAGGCGCUAUUCACAAGGGCUUUAUGUAAAAUAACUCAAUCCUCACAACAACUUCAAGAAGGAUGUUCUAUUAUUAUCCCCUUUUAUAGAUGAGGAAACUGAGGCAGAGUUUCAGAUCGCAUUUGCUCUGGGGCAAGCAUCUGGGUGGAGGUGCUGGGGCGCAGGAGGAACUUUGAAAUAGAUGGUCUUACGUUCCCAGCAGUGUGGGACAGGUAUGGGGGCAGUGACUGGUUGCAGAAUGAACUCUCACAGCGGCACUUUCCUGUGUGCUGGGGUAACCAACCUGCAUUCACCACACAGAGGGAGGAGGCAGCUGGUGAGAAGUCAGAACCUCAGUGCUGACUUGCAGCCCAGUGCUCUGUGCCUUCUUUCAUCUAACCCUUCUUAAGCGUCUCUCGGCACCAGGCACUGGCUGGGAUACUGGGGGUGGGACGGGAAUGGGAGGGAUUCUUGCGGCCCCCACCCCAGUGCCCGGCAGUCUAGCUGGCAGAAUGAUGCAGGAGCAGGGUAACUGUUGCAGGCACGCGGCCAAGCCCAGAGCACAGCUGGAAGGGAGACAACCCUGGGCUUAGAGUGACUUCGGGGCAGCCUGUGAGCGGAACGGCAGAGAUGAAGCGACUGAAGAACACUAAAGACCCCGAUGCUUUAUGGAGGAAGCUCUCUGUGAGGCGGCAGCACGGGCUGAGGCACCUGCUGGUCCGGGGGCUGGGAACCUCCACCCUGCGACAAGACUCACAGGGCCUCUGGGUCGUGCUCUGCCGGCUUGGAGGAGAACCAGUUACACAUCGCCACAGAGCCGCCCCCGGGGGCCCUGCUCUGUUUAGGGGAAGGAGUGCACGGUGCAAAGAUGCUUGGUAGAGGGGGUUGGGGGGCACCAUGGGCUCACCAGGCGGUUCACCCACGAGGCUGUGACUGCCCAGAGGGGCUACUUUCUGCUCAUUUGUCCACCCAGAGAAAGUACCUUUUUCUACUUUGCACAAAGGUGCCAUGUAAGUGAGCAGCAUCCCAGGUGGUCAGGAAGGUUUGAAAGAUGAUGGGAUGGAGCUCGCCCGGGGCCCUCACAUGCCCGCUUGUUCUUGGACCCACGUGUUGUGCACACGACAGUCGCAGUCUCUGCACACUGCCUUGCGGGUGAGGUGUACUGACCCUGUACUGGCGAGCCAGCUCCGCGAGAACACGCACCCGGCACAGCGCUCGGCCUGUCGUGGGGCCCAGGGAGUGAAUGAAGAGGCCGUGUCUCUGAGCUACGGUGCUGGCCAAUAAUAGGAGCAUCCGGUACUGUUGCAAGGGCUACAUGAGUGCACGGAGUGUGCUCCGGAAGAGCGAGCCACAUCACGGAACAGAGAUGUGAAAGGGCUCCGUGCACUUGGGAAGCGUGAAUCAAUGAGUUCCCCUUACUGGGGAGAUGAGGUUCCAGACCGUGGGGCCUUGGGUGUCGGGCCCCCCAAUGCCAUUGGCUUGAAUGCUGCCACGGGCUGCUCGGAGGCUUAGUGCCUGCCUCCCCUGGCUCCCUCCCACGUGCCUGAGUGCGGUGCAAGUACUGAGGUUGGUGCCUCCCUCUGUGGGGCUGGGGGAUUGCCUGGAGAAGCCAGGGCUCAGCCCCUUCCUCUCUGCGCCCAAAGAGGUCAGAAGAGGGUGAAUCAAUGGACUCUGGGAGUCAGGGAGUGCUUCCCGGAGGAAGGGAGCUGGCACUGCGCCACAAAAGCCAGGCAGAUUCACUAAAGGAGAUGGAUUCGGGCCAAAGUCGCCACCAAGGACCUUACAGCAACUAGCAUAUUUCCAGCCUGGAUACAUUUGACAGAGCCAGGCUCCAGAGUCCACUUCGGGGUUCAAGUGGCCUCCUCUGGGGGGACUGACCAUGCCACCACCCAUGUCCAUCUCCUGCAGACUGGAACCUGCGAGCCUUGACACUCUUGUCACUUGUGUGGUGCUGAUGGGGCUGGCAGGGACGGCCUUCUGCUGAGCGUCACUGAGCACAGCUGGCCCCAUCCCUCACAGCAGCGAGCCUCCUCCCCUCAAGGGAGCCCGGAGUCCCCCAGCCCUCAUCUCACCAGUGUCCACUGGUGCUCCUGGCCUAGAGUGAUAGCCAAGCUUAGCCCCUGCCCUCGAGACAUCUACACCAGCAGGAUGGGGUAGGUCUGCACCAGGGACCCAUGAGGACGACAUAGGCUGGGAGAGUGGCCGCAAGGAACACACCCAAGAUGCUACGACACUAUGCCAGCUGGGGGCCAAGCCUUUUAAGGGAUUCUCAGCCUCUUCCUGGGUCUCUCGGAUCCCCUGGUCAGACGAAUACCACCACGUGACUCUAGUCAACACCACGGAAGCAGCAGAUGAUCCGGCCAAGACCUCUCAGAGUUUCUGUGCACAAAUUUGUGAGAUACUAUGAACCAUCGUUUAAAGCCACUGCAGGGCGGUGGGGGUGGGGGUGUGUGGAAACAUACACGGUCUACUGUGUAUAUUGCAAAAUAGCAAAAGACCAAAAAGUCAUCUGUGUGUUGCUGUUGACAUACAUAUGCAUAUGUAUCCUCUGUGUUCCAGAGAGGAUGCUCCCAGCAAGACUACAGUGGGGACUGUAAUUGCAUACAUGCUGAAGCUAAAGCUGGGGUAGCCUCUCCCCAGGCACACUCCGGGCUGGGUGGUGGGGGGAGGGGGCCUUGGGUGAAACCGACAAGCCACAGGGAGGACAACAGGGUGGGCAACCUGGGGCUGACUGUGCUCUGAGCUUGAUCUACAGCCUUGUUUUGCCUCAUGACUCCCCAUAAUUUCCUGAUUUGGAAAAGACAAGCUCUGCUGUGGCUCCCUGAGAACCACUGGUCUGGAUUUUGGGGGCCCCUUUCUGCCAAAGCACUGCGGACCUGGCCUGAGUCCCUCAGCGGGCCUCUGGCGUCUUCUCUGGCUGCCUGGCACCUCUGCCACACCCCCAUCUUGAGGUGGGAGCUGGAAGACUUGCUCUGCCAGCUUCCCUUGCAGCUCCAUUUCCAGGUGUGUGCCCUGCUGCUCAGACACUCUGGGGUGAGGUUCCCGUCCGGAAGCUGGGCGACGUGAGGAAGCCAGCACGGCUCCAUGCUCCACAGAGGCUGGUGGCAGAGACCCACGGAUUUGGGAGCACACAGAUGAUAGAGGCUCUGGUGUCCCAGGCACAGCAUCAGCCGUGGAAGCUGUCAUCUCCUUUCCCUUCUUACUCUGGAGGAUGCUCAGGGCAGGAGUCGGUUCCCACACGGCUCCCAGCAGAAGUGAAGUUGCACCUCUGAUCACCAGGCCCUGGGCCGCCAUGGGGAAUCACAGUGGCUCUAGGACUGCACACGGCAGGGCAGGCCACUCGCUGCAAGGACUGGGUGUCUCACUUCCUUUUCAGGCAUCAGUCCCCCCACAUGGCACUGAGGCUUUGCAUGGUGUUGCGUCCACCUGUGGGGACUGACUCCCUGGGGCUCUUGCAUCACAAAGGUGAGGCCCUAUGAAGGCAAGUUUUACUUGAAGAAUGGUGUUCCAAUGUUGGAAAUCCAGUUUUGGGAAGAAGCCAUUUUGGCGUCUGGGGUUUUUAGACUAUAGCUCGUGCGUUUCUAGCUAGACUGUUGGCAUUCUAGGACCAUUCUAGGUUGUCAGCAAGAGGACUGGUUCCAAGAUCACACAGGUAGAGCGUUGACCACGUCUAACAUAGGGGUUCUCCAACGUGAGUGCGUGUGUGGGUUAGGAAUGCGGGUUUCUGGACCCACCCCAGAGCUUUUGAUUCGGUAGGUCUGGGACAGGGGGCCCCUAAAGGUGGUGGUUUGACAAGCGUAUCAGGUGAUGUAGGAGUUCCACCGACCCCACUCUGGCAAGCGAUGACAGUCUUGAUAUUCAAGUUUGCAGGCCUCUGUGCCCGAACGUGGGGAAACUUAGGGGCUGGAAACUGCCAGGCGGGUCCUGAAUGGGACAGAUUUUGAGGUCCUGCUCAUGUGCCUCAUGGGAGCUGGCUAUUUGGUGACACUGUCUUCAUGGACCCCUGGUCCCAGCCUAGGUUUCAAGGGGUCAGAAGGACAUUUUGUCAGAUGCUAAAGCUAUAAAUCUGUGGCCUCUGGGAAGAGCAAAUGACAUUUAUGGGUCUCUCAGUUCUUCAUUUCAUGAUUGCUACUGAACUACAUACGAGAAUAAUCACAGUCAAAUCCCCACUUGGGGCUGGGGGAUGCUCUCCGGAGCCCCUCCUGCUCUCAUGAAUGAGGCUGCCCUCUCUGGCCCCCUGGACCCCGGCCGGCGCCCUCGGCCUCCCCUUCAGAGCACCACCAUAAUGUGCUCCGGGGACCGCUGAAAUUUCUAAUAAUACUAACCAAUGAUGUGUUAAAUUGAGACACUUCUGGCUCGAAUGCCGGAAACUGCAUGAUGGUUUAAAGGACCAGUGCUUACCUUUCUCUAUCAAUUUGCUGCUAAAUUACUGCUUUCGGAGCAACUUACAGAAAAGUAAUUCUUUAUUUAAAUUUUAAUUUCAAUCUUGUCAUUUUAAAUAUAUAUUCAGAUUCCAAUCAUA